AAUAAUACAAUUAAAUUUUAUCAAAAAUUAAUUAAUUUUUAAUAUAAAAAAUUUAAUGUAAGAUUUAUUAGGUGAAAUUUUAAAUUUUAAGAAAAUUUGUUAUGUGUUAAUGAAUUUAAGAAAUUUUAAUUUUAAACUAGGAUUAGAUACCCUAUUAUUUUAAAAUGUAAAUUAUUAUUUUUGAUUAGUAUUAGUUAUGGUCUUGAAAAUUAAAAAUUUUGGCGGUAUUUUAGUCUAUUCAGAGGAACCUGUCCUAUAAUUGAUAAUCCACGAGUUAAUUUACUUUUUUUUGAAGUUUGUAUAUCGUCGUAGUUUGAAUAUUUUAUAAGAAUGUUAAUAUUCAAAAUUUAAUUGUUAAAGUAAAUCAGAUCAAGGUAUAGCUUAUAAAAAAGAAGAGAUGGGUUACAUUAAUAUUAAUUUAGGAUAUUAAAUUGUAAAUUUAGUUGAAUUUGGAUUUGAUCGUAAUUUAAUUUAAAUAAAUUAGAUGAUUUUAGCUCUAAAAUAUGUACAUAUCGCCCGUCGCUUUCACCUUAAAGUGAAAUAAGUCGUAACAAAGUAGAUUUACUGGAAAGUGAAUCUAGAAUGACAAAUUAGAGCUUGAUAAAAGUAUUUUAUUUACAUUAAAAAGUUAAUUGUGAGAUUCAAUUUAAUUUGAAAUUAAUAAAUUAUUAAAUUUUAUUGAUUAUGUAAAUUUUAAUUAAAGUAAUUUUUUUUUAGUAGAUUUUUAGAAAAAAUUAUAAUAAUGAUAGAGAAUUAUUGUAUUGUGAGAGAAUUUGAUUAAUUAAAUUAAAGAAAAAUUAUGAUUUU
RNAcentral lists this ribosomal RNA (807 nucleotides) under Mesosa atrostigma. Its description in RNAcentral is "partial 12S ribosomal RNA". The record is from RNAcentral. Lineage: Eukaryota; Metazoa; Arthropoda; Insecta; Coleoptera; Cerambycidae.